GAAAAUAGAUGAGUAGAGUGAAAAUAAUAAUUCCAGGAAUCAAUAAUGCAAAAAUCCCUCCCCCACACCAAUAACUUACAUUGUCCCCAGUGUAAGAUAAUCAAAGCUCACAUAAAAAUUAAAGCGUAAGGAUAAAAGAUUAAAGGCAAAAACUUCCCUGAAUUGUGAGCUUUGAUCCUCAUAACGUCUAUGGGCUUGGCGGGAAUGGUGGGAUAAAUCCCACACUCUUGAAGUAUGCGGCCAAAUUCUGCUCCAUCUUGUCACGGAUUUCGAUUCACGCGGCUGGAAUGCAGGUCGUAGGCUGGUUGCGGACUAUUGCUGCUCGACUGGAGCUUGCGGGUACACGGCUGGUGGUUCAGUUGCGCGCGGAUGGGACUGAUGCUGCGAACUGGUGACGUUGGAUCUGCGUGCUGCGGCUGUUGCUGCGCGCUGGGGGAUUGCUGGUGCGCGCGCUGGUGACGCUUGUUGCGUUGCGUGCUCGGCUGGAGCUUGCUGCGCAGCUUGGGGCUGGUUGCGCACUGCUGGUUGCGUGCAGGAUGCUGUCUGCGUGGCUGCGUUGCGCGCGAGAGCUGCUGCGUGGCUGUGUUGCUGCGGGACUGUUGCGCGCGAGAGCUGGUUAUGAGUUGCGUUGCGGGGCGUGCU
RNAcentral lists this long non-coding RNA (642 nucleotides) under Citrus sinensis (sweet orange). RNAcentral describes it as "long non-coding RNA (CSIN_LNC001699)". The record is from RNAcentral. Lineage: Eukaryota; Viridiplantae; Streptophyta; Magnoliopsida; Sapindales; Rutaceae.